Molecule: ribosomal RNA, 508 nt
Filed under: fungal sp.
Lineage: Eukaryota; Fungi
Description: eukaryotic LSU rRNA
Rfam family: 5.8S ribosomal RNA (bases 165-318)
Source: RNAcentral
AUAGUAACGUGGGGAAGGAUCAUUACCGAGAGUUGUAGGCUUUGCUUGCUAUCUCUUACCCAUGUCUUUUAAGUACUUUCGUUUCCUGGGUGGGUUCGCCCGCGGAUUGGCCAAUUUAAUCCAUUUGCAGUAGCAAUCAGAGUAAGAAAAAAAUUAAUAGUUACAACUUUCAACAAUGGAUCUGUUGGUUCUGGCAUGGAUGAAGAACGCAGCGAAAUGCGAUAAGUAGUGUGAAUUGCAGAAUUCAGUGAAUCAUUGAAUCUUUGAACGCACAUUGCGCCCCUAGGUAUUCCAUGGGGCAUGCCUGUUCGAGCGUCAUUUGUACCUUCAAGCUUUGCUUGGUGUUGGGUGUUUGUCUCGCCUCUGCGUGUAGACCCGCCUCAAAACAAUCGGCAGCCGGCGUAUUGAUUUAGGAGCGCAGUACAUCUCGCGCUUUGCACUCAUAAGGACGACGUCCAAAAGCACAUUUUACACUCUGACCUCGGAUCAGGUAGGAACCCCGGUUCCA